This 465-nucleotide ribosomal RNA is filed under the name uncultured bacterium. RNAcentral's name for it is "partial 16S ribosomal RNA". It matches the Rfam family "Bacterial small subunit ribosomal RNA", at positions 338 to 795 of the family's 1533-position model. The record is from RNAcentral.
CCUACGGGCGGCAGCAGUAGGGAAUCUUCCACAAUGGGCGAAAGCCUGAUGGAGCAACGCCGCGUGGGUGAAGAAGGUCUUCGGAUCGUAAAACCCUGUUGUUAGAGAAGAACGAGCGUGAGAGUAACUGUUCACGUUUCGACGGUACCUAACCAGAAAGCCACGGCUAACUACGUGCCAGCCGCCGCGGUAAUACGUAGGUGGCAAGCGUUAUCCGGAAUUAUUGGGCGUAAAGGGAACGCAGGCGGUUUUGUAAGUCUGAUGUGAAAGCCUUCGGCUUAACCGGGGAGGUGCAUUGGAAACUGGGAGACUUGAGUGCAGAAGAGGAGAGUGGAACUCCAUGUGUAGCGGUGAAAUGCGUAGAUAUAUGGAAGAACACCAGUGGCGAAGGCGACUCUCUGGUCUGUAACUGACGCUGAGGUGCGAAAGCGUGGGUAGCAAACAGGAUUAGAUACCCGUGUAGUC